This 166-nucleotide long non-coding RNA is filed under the name Ictidomys tridecemlineatus (thirteen-lined ground squirrel). RNAcentral describes it as "lncRNA (ENSSTOG00000033611.1)". The record is from RNAcentral. Lineage: Eukaryota; Metazoa; Chordata; Mammalia; Rodentia; Sciuridae.
CGUCAAGGAUCACUCUUUGGUUAAGAUAUUGGCAAGAAUCAGACUAUAAAAACUGAAUGAAGAAGUCACAGGAAAUCAGAAAGAAAGGACCAGCAGGAGCCAUUUAAAUCCAUUUACUGAAGCUGGAUUCUUCACUGCCACCCAGUCAACAUUGAGGUAUGUCCUA